This 377-nucleotide unclassified non-coding RNA is filed under the name plant metagenome. RNAcentral's name for it is "partial contains 5.8S ribosomal RNA, internal transcribed spacer 2, and large subunit ribosomal RNA". The stretch from base 1 to 104 matches the Rfam family "5.8S ribosomal RNA", at positions 50 to 154 of the family's 154-position model. The record is from RNAcentral.
GAAAUGCGAUAAGUAAUGUGAAUUGCAGAAUUCAGUGAAUCAUCGAAUCUUUGAACGCACCUUGCGCUCCUGGUAUUCCUUGGAGCAUGCCUGUUUGAGUAUCAUGAAAUCUUCAAAGUAAAUCUUUUGUUAACUCAAUUGGUUUCUACUUUGGUAUUGGAGGUCUUUGCAGCUUCACACCUGCUCCUCUUUGUUCAUUAGCUGGAUCUCAGUGUUAUGCUUGGUUCCACUCGGCGUGAUAAGUUAUCUAUCGCUGAGGACACUGUAAAAGGUGGCCAAGGUAAAUGCAGAUGAACCGCUUCUAAUAGUCCAUUGACUUGGACAAUACUUUUAUGAUCUGAUCUCAAAUCAGGUAGGACUACCCGCUGAACUUAAGC